UCAACUUGAGAGUUUGAUCCUGGCUCAGGACGAACGCUGGCGGCAGGCUUAACACAUGCAAGUCGAGCGCCCCGCAAGGGGAGCGGCAGACGGGUGAGUAACGCGUGGGAACGUGCCUUUCGGUUCGGAACAACUGAGGGAAACUUCAGCUAAAACCGGAUACGCCCUUCGGGGGAAAGUUUACGCCGAAAGAUCGGCCCGCGUCAGAUUAGGUAGUUGGUGGGGUAAAGGCCUACCAAGCCUACGAUCUGUAGCUGUUCUGAGAGGAAGAUCAGCCACACUGGGACUGAGA
Molecule: ribosomal RNA, 292 nt
Filed under: Parvularcula sp.
Lineage: Bacteria; Pseudomonadati; Pseudomonadota; Alphaproteobacteria; Parvularculales; Parvularculaceae
Description: partial 16S ribosomal RNA
Rfam family: Bacterial small subunit ribosomal RNA
Source: RNAcentral